This 433-nucleotide ribosomal RNA is filed under the name uncultured bacterium. RNAcentral describes it as "partial 16S ribosomal RNA". It matches the Rfam family "Bacterial small subunit ribosomal RNA", at positions 29 to 507 of the family's 1533-position model. The record is from RNAcentral.
AACGAACGCUGGCGGCAGGCCUAACACAUGCAAGUCGAGCGCGCCCUUCGGGGUGAGCGGCGGACGGGUGAGUAACGCGUGGGAACGUGCCCUUUUCUACGGAAUAGCCUCGGGAAACUGAGAGUAAUACCGUAUACGCCCUUUGGGGGAAAGAUUUAUCGGAAAAGGAUCGGCCCGCGUUGGAUUAGGUAGUUGGUGGGGUAAUGGCCUACCAAGCCGACGAUCCAUAGCUGGUUUGAGAGGAUGAUCAGCCACACUGGGACUGAGACACGGCCCAGACUCCUACGGGAGGCAGCAGUGGGGAAUCUUAGACAAUGGGGGCAAACCUGAUAUAGCCAUGCCGCGUGAGUGAUGCAGGCCUUAGGGUUGUAAAGCUCUUUCAGCUGGGAAGAUAAUGACGGUAACAGCAGAAGAAGCCCCGGCUAACUCCGUG